RNAcentral lists this transfer-messenger RNA (352 nucleotides) under Clostridia. Its description in RNAcentral is "CAG-269 sp000437215 Standard tmRNA". It matches the Rfam family "transfer-messenger RNA". Rfam says of the family: Bacterial tmRNA, also known as 10Sa RNA or SsrA, is named for its dual tRNA and mRNA-like properties. RNAcentral also lists the same sequence under 3 other names. The record is from RNAcentral. Lineage: Bacteria; Bacillati; Bacillota.
GGGGAUGUAAAUGGUUUCGACAUUACAUUAGAAGUGCAUAUAGCAAGUAGUGGAUUCUCGUUGGCCACUAUAAAAACGAGAAAUUAAAUAUAAACGCUGAUAAUAGAGAAUUAGCAUUAGCUGCCUAGGUGCGGCUACGUUUUAUAAAAUAGUCCCACGGAUUUUAUAAAACGCCAAAACAGUGGGAAACAAAGCUGCUUUUGCUUUUAAAGUAGUGGGUAAUUAAAAAGCUAUAUUUAAAUUAAGCCUGUUUAUCGGCGUAAUUUAAAUGAAAAUAAAAGAUAAAAUAAACUUGUAGAAGUGUGCAUGGAAAAUGUUAUGGACAGGAGUUCGACUCUCCUCAUCUCCACCA